CGUAGGUAACCUGCCUGGUAGCGGGGGGUAACUAUUGAAGACAGCAAUACCGCAUAACAUUGACUAUUGCAUGAUAGUCAAUUGAAAGGUGCAAAUGCACCACUACCAGAUGGACCUGCGUUGUAUUAGCUAGUUGGUGGGGUAACGGCUCACCAAGGCGACGAUACAUAGCCGACCUGAGAGGGUGAUCGGCCACACUGGGACUGAGACACGGCCCAG
RNAcentral lists this ribosomal RNA (219 nucleotides) under uncultured bacterium. Its description in RNAcentral is "partial 16S ribosomal RNA". It matches the Rfam family "Bacterial small subunit ribosomal RNA", at positions 116 to 334 of the family's 1533-position model. The record is from RNAcentral.